GCUUCCCGUCCCCCGCCUCCCUCACUCCCCGCCCCUCUGCUGUGAGGACACAGCCUGAGCGCAGCCCUGUCCUCCACAGGUAGAUGAUGAGCUGGAGAUCAAGGCCUACUAUGCAGGCCACGUGCUGGGGGCAGCCAUGUUCCAGAUUAAAGUGGGCUCAGAGUCUGUGGUCUACACGGGUGAUUAUAACAUGACCCCAGACCGACACUUAGGAGCUGCCUGGAUUGACAAGUGCCGCCCCAACCUGCUCAUCACAGAGUCCACGUACGCCACGACCAUCCGUGACUCCAAGCGCUGCCGGGAGCGAGACUUCCUGAAGAAAGUCCACGAGACCGUGGAGCGUGGUGGGAAGGUGCUGAUACCUGUGUUCGCGCUGGGCCGCGCCCAGGAGCUCUGCAUCCUCCU
RNAcentral lists this small RNA (405 nucleotides) under Pan troglodytes (chimpanzee). Its description in RNAcentral is "retained intron". The record is from RNAcentral. Lineage: Eukaryota; Metazoa; Chordata; Mammalia; Primates; Hominidae.